This 253-nucleotide ribosomal RNA is filed under the name uncultured bacterium. RNAcentral's name for it is "partial 16S ribosomal RNA". It matches the Rfam family "Bacterial small subunit ribosomal RNA", at positions 524 to 776 of the family's 1533-position model. The record is from RNAcentral.
UACGGAGGGUGCAAGCGUUGCUCGGAAUUAUUGGGCGUAAAGGGCAGGUAGGUGGUCUCAUUUGUCCGGGGUGAAAUCCUUGAGCUUAACUCAAGAAGUGCCCCGGAGACGGUGAGACUAGAGUUUUGGAGAGGGUCGUGGAAUUCCCGGUGUAGCGGUGAAAUGCGUAGAUAUCGAGAGGAACACCUGCGGCGAAGGCGGGUUGCUGGGCUGACACUGACGCUGAUGCGCGAAAGCCAGGGGAGCGAACGGG